This 248-nucleotide long non-coding RNA is filed under the name Actinidia chinensis (golden kiwifruit). Its description in RNAcentral is "long non-coding RNA (ACHI_LNC002539)". The record is from RNAcentral. Lineage: Eukaryota; Viridiplantae; Streptophyta; Magnoliopsida; Ericales; Actinidiaceae.
AAAAAUACUAAAAUAAAAUUGAAAAGAUUAGGUUGAAACCCUAAAAGUCUAAAAUUUACAUUAUAUACCCUUGGCUCGCGAGCCUAUUCGAGCCGAGCCAUGACAAACUCGGGCUCGGCUCGUUUACAAAACGAGCCAAAUAUUUAAGCUCGAGCUCAUUUAUUUACUUAAUAAACCGAACUUAAACGAGCCCUUACCGAGCCGAGCCUCGAGCCGUUUACGAACAGCUCGGUUCAUUUGCAGCCCUA